UACGUAGGGGGCUAGCGUUGUCCGGAAUCAUUGGGCGUAAAGAGCGUGUAGGCGGUCCGGUAAGUCCGCUGUGAAAGUCGGGGGGCUCAACCCUCGAAUGCCGGUGGAUACUGUCGGGCUAGAGUGCGGAAGAGGCGAGUGGAAUUCCUGGUGUAGCGGUGAAAUGCGCAGAUAUCAGGAGGAACACCAAUGGCGAAGGCAGCUCGCUGGAACGGUACUGACGCUGAGGCGCGAAAGGCGUGGGGAGCGAACAGG
RNAcentral lists this ribosomal RNA (255 nucleotides) under uncultured bacterium. RNAcentral describes it as "partial 16S ribosomal RNA". It matches the Rfam family "Bacterial small subunit ribosomal RNA", at positions 524 to 776 of the family's 1533-position model. The record is from RNAcentral.